UUAAGGAUGGUCCCGCGUCCAUUAGCUUGUUGGUAGGGUAAUGGCCUACCAAGGCUACGAUGGAUAGCUGGUCUGAGAGGAUGUCAGCCACACUGGGACUGAGAUACGGCCCAG
Molecule: ribosomal RNA, 114 nt
Filed under: uncultured bacterium
Lineage: Bacteria
Description: partial 16S ribosomal RNA
Rfam family: Bacterial small subunit ribosomal RNA
Source: RNAcentral